RNAcentral lists this ribosomal RNA (253 nucleotides) under uncultured bacterium. Its description in RNAcentral is "partial 16S ribosomal RNA". It matches the Rfam family "Bacterial small subunit ribosomal RNA", at positions 524 to 776 of the family's 1533-position model. The record is from RNAcentral.
UACGGAGGGUGCAAGCGUUAAUCGGAAUUACUGGGCGUAAAGCGAGUGCAGGCGGUUUCGUGGGUCGGGGGUGAAAACCCCCGGCUUAACCUGGGAAAUGGAUCCGAAACUGCGUAACUAGAAUAUGGUAGAGGAAGACGGAAUUCCACGUGUAGCGGUGAAAUGCGUAGAUAUGUGGAGGAACACCAAUGGCGAAGGCAGUCUUCUGGGCCAAUAUUGACGCUGAGGCUCGAAAGCGUGGGUAGCAAACAGG